UGCGUAGGCGGAAAUGUAAGUCAGAGGUGAAAUCACACAGCUUAACUGGGUAAUUGCCUUUGAUACUGCGUUUCUUGAAUCAGAUUGAGGUUAGCGGAAUGAGUCAUGUAGCGGUGAAAUGCAUAGAUAUGACUUAGAACACCAAUUGCGAAGGCAGCUAGCUAGGUUUGUAUUGACGCUGAGGCACGAAAGCGUGGGGAGCGAACA
Molecule: ribosomal RNA, 207 nt
Filed under: uncultured bacterium
Lineage: Bacteria
Description: partial 16S ribosomal RNA
Rfam family: Bacterial small subunit ribosomal RNA
Source: RNAcentral